UGGGGAAUUUUGGACAAUGGGCGCAAGCCUGAUCCAGCAAUGCCGCGUGCAGGAUGAAGGCCUUCGGGUUGUAAACUGCUUUUGUACGGAGCGAAAAGGUCUGCCCUAAUACGGUGGGCUCAUGACGGUACCUGAAGAAUAAGCACCGGCUAACUACGUGCCAGCAGCCGCGGUAAUACGUAGGGUGCAAGCGUUAAUCGGAAUUACUGGGCGUAAAGCGUGCGUAGGCGGUUAUGCAAGACAGAGGUGAAAUCCCCGGGCUCAACCUGGGACCUGCAUUUGUGACUGUAUAGCUAGAGUACGGUAGAGGGGGAUGGAAUUCCGCGUGUAGCAGUGAAAUGCGUAGAUAUGCGGAGGAACACCGAUGGCGAAGGCAAUCCCCUGGACCUGUACUGACGCUCAUGCACGAAAGCGUGGGGAGCAAACA
Molecule: ribosomal RNA, 427 nt
Filed under: uncultured bacterium
Lineage: Bacteria
Description: bacterial SSU rRNA
Rfam family: Bacterial small subunit ribosomal RNA
Source: RNAcentral